Molecule: ribosomal RNA, 465 nt
Filed under: Vreelandella stevensii
Lineage: Bacteria; Pseudomonadati; Pseudomonadota; Gammaproteobacteria; Oceanospirillales; Halomonadaceae
Description: partial 16S ribosomal RNA
Rfam family: Bacterial small subunit ribosomal RNA
Source: RNAcentral
CCUACGGGUGGCAGCAGUGGGGAAUAUUGCACAAUGGGCGAAAGCCUGAUCCAGCCAUGCCGCGUGUGUGAAGAAGGCCUUCGGGUUGUAAAGCACUUUCAGUGGGGAAGAAAGCCUUGGGGCUAAUACCCUCGAGGAAGGACAUCACCCACAGAAGAAGCACCGGCUAACUCCGUGCCAGCAGCCGCGGUAAUACGGAGGGUGCGAGCGUUAAUCGGAAUUACUGGGCGUAAAGCGCGCGUAGGCGGUCUGAUAAGCCGGUUGUGAAAGCCCCGGGCUCAACCUGGGAACGGCAUCCGGAACUGUCAGGCUAGAGUGCAGGAGAGGAAGGUAGAAUUCCCGGUGUAGCGGUGAAAUGCGUAGAGAUCGGGAGGAAUACCAGUGGCGAAGGCGGCCUUCUGGACUGACACUGACGCUGAGGUGCGAAAGCGUGGGUAGCAAACAGGAUUAGAUACCCGGGUAGUC